RNAcentral lists this ribosomal RNA (253 nucleotides) under uncultured bacterium. RNAcentral's name for it is "partial 16S ribosomal RNA". It matches the Rfam family "Bacterial small subunit ribosomal RNA", at positions 524 to 776 of the family's 1533-position model. The record is from RNAcentral.
GACGAACCGUCCUAACGUUGUUCGGAAUCACUGGGCUUAAAGGGCGCGUAGGCGGACCACAAAGUCCGGGGUGAAAUCUUUCGGCUUAACCGGAAAAUUGCCUUGGAUACUGGUGGUCUCGAGGGAGGUAGGGGCAUGUGGAACUUCCGGUGGAGCGGUGAAAUGUGUUGAUAUCGGAAGGAACGCCGGUGGCGAAAGCGACGUGCUGGACCUCUUCUGACGCUGAGGCGCGAAAGCUAGGGGAGCAAACGGG